Molecule: ribosomal RNA, 327 nt
Filed under: uncultured eukaryote
Lineage: Eukaryota
Description: partial 18S ribosomal RNA
Rfam family: Eukaryotic small subunit ribosomal RNA
Source: RNAcentral
CCCUUAGAUGUUCUGGGCCGCACGCGCGCUACACUGACUGACUCAACGAGUGUACAACCUGCUUCGACAGAAGUGGGUAAUCUCCAAAUUUCGUCGUGAUGGGGAUAGAUUAUUGCAAUUAUUAAUCUUCAACGAGGAAUGCCUAGUAAGCGCAAGUCAUCAGCUUGCGUUGAUUACGUCCCUGCCCUUUGUACACACCGCCCGUCGCUCCUACCGAUUGAAUGGUCCGGUGAAGCGUUCGGACCGUGGCCUUUGGACGGUUCGCCGUCUGUUGGCUGCGGGAAGUUCGUUAAACCUUAUCAUUUAGAGGAAGGAGAAGUCGUAACA